UACGUAGGGGGCUAGCGUUGCUCGGAAUCACUGGGCGUAAAGCGCACGUAGGCGGAUUGCUAAGUCAGGGGUGAAAUCCUGGAGCUCAACUCCAGAACUGCCUUUGAUACUGGCGAUCUCGAGUCCGGGAGAGGUGAGUGGAACUGCGAGUGUAGAGGUGAAAUUCGUAGAUAUUCGCAAGAACACCAGUGGCGAAGGCGGCUCACUGGCCCGGUACUGACGCUGAGGUGCGAAAGCGUGGGGAGCAAACAGG
This 253-nucleotide ribosomal RNA is filed under the name uncultured bacterium. RNAcentral describes it as "partial 16S ribosomal RNA". It matches the Rfam family "Bacterial small subunit ribosomal RNA", at positions 524 to 776 of the family's 1533-position model. The record is from RNAcentral.